GACGAACGCUGGCGGCGUGCUUAACACAUGCAAGUCGAACGCUGAACCCGCUUCGGUGGGGGAUGAGUGGCGAACGGGUGAGUAACACGUGGGCAACCUGCCCCCGGCUCUGGGAUAACUCCAAGAAAUUGGGGCUAAUACCGGAUGUGACCGCUGGCCGCAUGGUCUGGUGGUGGAAAGGGUUUCCGGCUGGGGAUGGGCCCGCGGCCUAUCAGCUUGUUGGUGGGGUAGUGGCCUACCAAGGCGACGAUGGGUAGCCGGCCUGAGAGGGUGACCGGCCACACUGGGACUGAGACACGGCCCAGACUCCUACGGGAGGCAGCAGUGGGGAAUAUUGCGCAAUGGGCGGAAGCCUGACGCAGCGACGCCGCGUGGGGGAUGACGGCCUUCGGGUUGUAAACCUCUUUCAGCAGGGACGAAGCGCAAGUGACGGUACCUGCAGAAGAAGCACCGGCCAACUACGUG
Molecule: ribosomal RNA, 465 nt
Filed under: uncultured bacterium
Lineage: Bacteria
Description: partial 16S ribosomal RNA
Rfam family: Bacterial small subunit ribosomal RNA
Source: RNAcentral